UCAACCCUGUGAACAUACCUAUAACGUUGCCUCGGCGGGAACAGACGGCCCCGUAACACGGGCCGCCCCCGCCAGAGGACCCCCUAACUCUGUUUCUAUAAUGUUUCUUCUGAGUAAACAAGCAAAUAAAUUAAAACUUUCAACAACGGAUCUCUUGGCUCUGGCAUCGAUGAAGAACGCAGCGAAAUGCGAUAAGUAAUGUGAAUUGCAGAAUUCAGUGAAUCAUCGAAUCUUUGAACGCACAUUGCGCCCGCCAGUAUUCUGGCGGGCAUGCCUGUUCGAGCGUCAUUACAACCCUCAGGCCCCCGGGCCUGGCGUUGGGGAUCGGCGGAAGCCCCCUGCGGGCACAACGCCGUCCCCCAAAUACAGUGGCGGUCCCGCCGCAGCUUCCAUUGCGUAGUAGCUAACACCUCGCAACUGGAGAGCGGCGCGGCCACGCCGUAAAACACCCAACUUCUGAAUGUUGACCUCGAAUCAGGUAGGAAUACCCGCUGAACUUAAGCAUAU
This 507-nucleotide ribosomal RNA is filed under the name Fusarium oxysporum f. sp. lycopersici. RNAcentral describes it as "eukaryotic LSU rRNA". The stretch from base 135 to 288 matches the Rfam family "5.8S ribosomal RNA". The record is from RNAcentral. Lineage: Eukaryota; Fungi; Ascomycota; Sordariomycetes; Hypocreales; Nectriaceae.